GAUGAACGCUGGCGGCGUGCCUAAUACAUGCAAGUUGAGCGAUGAAGCUUGGUGCUUGCUCCUCUUUGGAUAGCAGCGGACGGGUGAGUAACGCGUGGGUAACCUGCCUUUGAGCGGGGGACAACAUUUGGAAACGAAUGCUAAUACCGCAUAACAUCUUUAAACAUAAGUUUUAAGAUUGAAAGAUGGAAUUGCAUCACUCAAAGAUGAUCCCGCGUUGUAUUAGCUAGUUGGGUAGGUAAAGGCUCACCAAGGCGAUGAAACAUAGCCGGACUGGGAGGGUGAUCCGCCCCACUGGGACCUAGACAACGCCCCAAACCCUUCGGGAAGCAACAGUAGGGAAAUCUUGCGAAUGGAGCAAAGGCUUACCGAGCAAAGCCGCGUGAGUGAAGGAGGUUCUCGGAUCCGAAAAACUCGGUUGUAGGGAAGAAACUAGGUGAUAGUGGACAGCGCAUGAAGUGACGGUAACUAACCAGAAAGCGACGGCUAACUACGUG
This 497-nucleotide ribosomal RNA is filed under the name uncultured bacterium. RNAcentral's name for it is "partial 16S ribosomal RNA". It matches the Rfam family "Bacterial small subunit ribosomal RNA", at positions 28 to 507 of the family's 1533-position model. The record is from RNAcentral.